CGUACGGCGAGCCUAUAAUGCAAGUCGAGCGAACAGAAGGGAGCUUGCUCCCGGAUGUUAGCGGCGGACGGGUGAGUAACACGUGGGUAACCUGCCUGUAAGACUGGGAUAACUCCGGGAAACCGGAGCUAAUACCGGAUAGUUCCUUGAACCGCAUGGUUCAAGGAUGAAAGACGGUUUCGGCUGUCACUUACAGAUGGACCCGCGGCGCAUUAGCUAGUUGGUGGGGUAAUGGCUCACCAAGGCGACGAUGCGUAGCCGACCUGAGAGGGUGAUCGGCCACACUGGGACUGAGACACGGCCCAGACUCCUACGGGAGGCAGCAGUAGGGAAUCUUCCGCAAUGGACGAAAGUCUGACGGAGCAACGCCGCGUGAGUGAUGAAGGUUUUCGGAUCGUAAAGCUCUGUUGUUAGGGAAGAACAAGUGCGAGAGUAACUGCUCGCACCUUGACGGUACCUAACCAGAAAGCCACGGCUAACUACGUGCCAGCAGCCGCGGUAAUACGUAGGUGGCAAGCGUUGUCCGGAAUUAUUGGGCGUAAAGGGCUCGCAGGCGGUUUCUUAAGUCUGAUGUGAAAGCCCCCGGCUCAACCGGGGAGGGUCAUUGGA
RNAcentral lists this ribosomal RNA (609 nucleotides) under Bacillus safensis. Its description in RNAcentral is "bacterial SSU rRNA". It matches the Rfam family "Bacterial small subunit ribosomal RNA", at positions 36 to 630 of the family's 1533-position model. Lineage: Bacteria; Bacillati; Bacillota; Bacilli; Caryophanales; Bacillaceae. The record is from RNAcentral.